This 337-nucleotide ribosomal RNA is filed under the name uncultured bacterium. RNAcentral's name for it is "bacterial SSU rRNA". It matches the Rfam family "Bacterial small subunit ribosomal RNA", at positions 1 to 334 of the family's 1533-position model. The record is from RNAcentral.
GUGAGUAGUUCAGAGUUUGAUCCUGGCUCAGGACGAACGCUGGCGGCGUGCUUAACACAUGCAAGUCGAACGGAGUUGAUUCUUCGGAAUUAACUUAGUGGCGAGCGGGUGAGUAACGCGUGAGAAACCUGCCUUUCAGUGGGGGACAACAGUUGGAAACGACUGCUAAUACCGCAUAAAGUAUUUUGACCGCAUGAUCGAAAUACCAAAGCUUAAUGUGCUGAAAGAUGGUCUCGCGUCUGAUUAGCUAGUUGGUGAGGUAACGGCUCACCAAGGCGACGAUCAGUAGCCGGUCUGAGAGGAUGAACGGCCACAUUGGGACUGAGAUACGGCCCAG